This 119-nucleotide ribosomal RNA is filed under the name Pteropus alecto (black flying fox). Lineage: Eukaryota; Metazoa; Chordata; Mammalia; Chiroptera; Pteropodidae. The record is from RNAcentral.
GUCUACGGCCAUGCCACCCUGAACAAGUACGAUCCCAUCUGAUCUCGGAAGCUAAGCAGGGUCGGGCCUGGUUAGUAUUUGAAUAGGAGACCACCUAGGAAGACUGUGUGCUGUAGGCG